Molecule: ribosomal RNA, 320 nt
Filed under: uncultured bacterium
Lineage: Bacteria
Description: bacterial SSU rRNA
Rfam family: Bacterial small subunit ribosomal RNA
Source: RNAcentral
ACGUGCCCAAAGGUACGGGAUAGCCUCGGGAAACUGAGAGUAAUACCGUAUGUGCCCCUCGGGGGAAAGAUUUAUCGCCUUUGGAUCGGCCCGCGUUGGAUUAGGUAGUUGGUGGGGUAAUGGCCUACCAAGCCUACGAUCCAUAGCUGGUUUGAGAGGAUGAUCAGCAACACUGGGACUGAGACACGGCCCAGACUCCUACGGGAGGCAGCAGUGGGGAAUCUUAGACAAUGGGGGAAACCCUGAUCUAGCCAUGCCGCGUGGACGAUGAAGGCCCUAGGGUUGUAAAGUCCUUUCAGCUGGGAAGAUAAUGACGGUAC